RNAcentral lists this ribosomal RNA (141 nucleotides) under Magnolia x soulangeana (saucer magnolia). RNAcentral describes it as "partial small subunit ribosomal RNA". The record is from RNAcentral. Lineage: Eukaryota; Viridiplantae; Streptophyta; Magnoliopsida; Magnoliales; Magnoliaceae.
GUCGAACGUUGUUUUCGGGGAGCUGGGCAGAAGGAAAAGAGGCUCCUAGCUAAAGGUAGCUUGUCUCGCCCGGCUUCAAAAUGGAAGGGCGCGCUACGCCUCAUACGUUUUGAAGCUUGGAACAGUUGAGAACAAAGUGGC